This 947-nucleotide ribosomal RNA is filed under the name uncultured bacterium. RNAcentral describes it as "bacterial SSU rRNA". It matches the Rfam family "Bacterial small subunit ribosomal RNA", at positions 523 to 1482 of the family's 1533-position model. The record is from RNAcentral.
AUACGGAAGGUCCGGGCGUUAUCCGGAUUUAUUGGGUUUAAAGGGAGCGUAGGCCGGAGAUUAAGCGUGUUGUGAAAUGUAGAUGCUCAACAUCUGCACUGCAGCGCGAACUGGUUUCCUUGAGUACGCACAAAGUGGGCGGAAUUCGUGGUGUAGCGGUGAAAUGCUUAGAUAUCACGAAGAACUCCGAUUGCGAAGGCAGCUCACUGGAGCGCAACUGACGCUGAAGCUCGAAAGUGCGGGUAUCGAACAGGAUUAGAUACCCUGGUAGUCCGCACGGUAAACGAUGGAUGCCCGCUGUUGGUCUGAAUAGGUCAGCGGCCAAGCGAAAGCAUUAAGCAUCCCACCUGGGGAGUACGCCGGCAACGGUGAAACUCAAAGGAAUUGACGGGGGCCCGCACAAGCGGAGGAACAUGUGGUUUAAUUCGAUGAUACGCGAGGAACCUUACCCGGGCUUGAAUUGCAGAGGAAGGAUUUGGAGACAAUGACGCCCUUCGGGGUCUCUGUGAAGGUGCUGCAUGGUUGUCGUCAGCUCGUGCCGUGAGGUGUCGGCUUAAGUGCCAUAACGAGCGCAACCCCUCUCCUUAGUUGCCAUCAGGUCAGGCUGGGCACUCUGGGGACACCGCCACCGUAAGGUGUGAGGAAGGUGGGGAUGACGUCAAAUCAGCACGGCCCUUACGUCCGGGGCUACACACGUGUUACAAUGGCAGGUACAGAGAGAUGGUGUUCUGCAAAGCGCAUCUAAUCCUUAAAGCCUGUCUCAGUUCGGACUGGGGUCUGCAACCCGACCCCACGAGGCUGGAUUCGCUAGUAAUCGCGCAUCAGCCAUGGCGCGGUGAAUACGUCCCCGGGCCUUGUACACACCGCCCGUCAAGCCAUGAAAGCCGGGGGCGCCUAAAGUCCGUGACCGUAAGGAGCGGCCUAGGGCGAAACUGGUAAUUGGGGCU